CUGGGAUGGGCUGGUACGCAGCCUGAUCCAGCCAUUCCGCGUGAGUGAAGAAGGCCUUCGGGUUGUAAAGCUCUUUCGGCAGGAACGAAACGGUGGGGGCUAAUAUCCCUUGCUAAUGACGGUACCUGAAGAAGAAGCACCGGCUAACUACGUGCCAGCAGCCGCGGUAAUAA
This 173-nucleotide ribosomal RNA is filed under the name uncultured beta proteobacterium. Its description in RNAcentral is "partial 16S ribosomal RNA". It matches the Rfam family "Bacterial small subunit ribosomal RNA", at positions 359 to 526 of the family's 1533-position model. Lineage: Bacteria; Pseudomonadati; Pseudomonadota; Betaproteobacteria. The record is from RNAcentral.